This is a long non-coding RNA of Alligator sinensis (Chinese alligator), 352 nucleotides long. RefSeq lists it as uncharacterized. The transcript is spliced from 3 exons. Lineage: Eukaryota; Metazoa; Chordata; Crocodylia; Alligatoridae. The record is from RefSeq and is a predicted model, not a curated record.
UUUUGCACUUUCAGCUGUGUCAGCCCAGCAGCAGUGAAGGGAGUUUGGCCUUGAAGUGAAUGUAAAGAGGAAAGAGAACCAGAAGAGGAGAGCUGGAGUGAGCUGUCUAAAUGAAGCUGCAGUUUGCAGCGUGGGAAGAUGAGAGAGUAGAAGAAAAGAGACUUGAUAUUUGAAUCUGCGUAGAUGAGAUGAAAAGAAGAUUAAGGAGGAGGACAUAUAUCUUCAGAACAUAAAAGGAGAUUUAGCCAGGGUUUAACAUCAGAUGGAUGGACAGAGAAAGAAACAGAGCAAAAAGAAACAACAUAUGCUUCAUAAAGCAAUGAAGGUUCGAAACAAAGCCACAGUACAAUGU